AUGAAAGAAUUCAAUUCUUUUUAAUUUAAAAAAUUAUUUUAAAAUAAAUAGAAAUCAAGCAUUAUUAUGUAAAAAUUCAAUUGAUUUCUUUUCUUAUAAAUGGUUUAUUCCAAACGAACCCUUUUAGAUGCACUAAAAUGCAACAUUAACAUUUUUUUUUUACCUUAUUAGUUGCAUCAUAGUAAGUACAAAGGUGCCAAUUAAGUUAGAAGGGUCUUGUUGAAAAUUUUUUGGGGUAAAUUACACAAACCAUACCUUAACAUAGAAGUAUAUAAUAAUAAGUUAUGUAAACUUUAAUUUAUAACAUAAAAUCCCUAAUAUCUAAUUUAAGUAAAAUAAAAGCUCUAUGUGAUUUUCAGUAAUUGAUUUCUAGGUUAUUUAUGUUAUCGUGACAUUUAUUAAAUUGAAAAUUUUAUAUUUUCAUAGGUUAGCCGCUUCAAUUAAAUAGUUGUGGCUAUGGCUGUGUUGAAUUGUGUACUUUGGAUCAUUGCAGCUGAGGCUGUGGAUUUAGGGAGAGCAAGGGGAGAGUAACUAGAGAGAAAUUAAUUUCCUGACAAAUAUCAAAUUAAUAGAGAAAAAAUAUUAUAUGACAAGUGUCACGUCAAUAAAAAUAACCUAGAAACAAGUUAAUGAAAGUCACCCAGAGAUUUUAUGUUACUUAAAUUAAAUAUUAAGAGUUUUAUGUAGUUUAAAUACCUUAUUGUUACAUACCUCUAAUUUGAGAUAUGUUUAUAUAAUUUAAAUUUUUGUCUAGAUAAAUUUAAUAGAUUAAGUCAAUAAUUUGUCCCUGAAUCGAAUUCCACUUCUAUAAGAUUUCCUUAAAAGUUAAGAUCUUCUAAAAUCCCAACAAGAUUAUGUUUAAUACUGAUAUAAAGAGCUUAAAUAGUUAGGUAUAUCAUUCUGCUUAAUUAAUCUCAGGCACUAUUUUUUCAUAUCAGCUCUAACUUGAGCUGUUCAUGGUACUAUUCUUUCAUUCCAGCUCUAAAUUGAGUGAUGGAUUUCGACUAAUUAAUCUUAUGUACUAUUCUUUCAUACCAGUUUUAACUUGAGCAGUGAGGACAUCACGUGUAUCCUUAACUUUUUUUUUUUUUUUAGAGGUUAGUAAAUCGCAUCAAUAUAUUAAUUUAAAAAAUAAUUAAUUACUCUCAUUAAUACUUAUAUAUUUUGAGGGAGUCAAUGUUAUAUAUUAAGAAAAUGACUUAAGCUAUAUUUUAUUUGAAUGUGUCAACAAUAAUAACAACUAAGCCUUAAGGGUCUGUUUGGGUGGGGGUGAGGAAAGGGUAAAUAAGGGUAACGAGGGGUAAAUAAUUAUUAUACCCCUGUUUGGAAAGGGGUGAGCUGGUGAAGGGUAAGGUAAGGGUAAGGGUAAGUAAGGGUAAGGUUUACCCUCCCUUACCCCUCAAAUCUCAAUUUUUUUUACUCCAUAUUGGGGGAGGGGGAGGGGGGAAGAUUUUUACACCCCUUAAUUUUAUCUCUAAUUCACCCAAACAUAAAGAAUAUAUAUUACCCUCCUUACAUUUCCAUUAAUUCAUUCCUUUUCAAACAUGAGAUUUUUUUUAUUGUUACUCUCUUUAUCCUUUCUUACCCUUCUAUUAUUUACCAUUCCCUCAGCUCAUCGAAACAGGCCCUUAGAAACAGGUAGAGUGCACUUACAUGACGAGUUGGUCCUUUUUCUUUCCCAGCCUAGGUGGUUGUGUUUGAUAUAUUUAAUAUUAUU
This 1717-nucleotide unclassified non-coding RNA is filed under the name Hevea brasiliensis (rubber tree). Lineage: Eukaryota; Viridiplantae; Streptophyta; Magnoliopsida; Malpighiales; Euphorbiaceae. The record is from RNAcentral.